This 616-nucleotide ribosomal RNA is filed under the name uncultured Gammaproteobacteria bacterium. RNAcentral's name for it is "bacterial SSU rRNA". It matches the Rfam family "Bacterial small subunit ribosomal RNA", at positions 1 to 613 of the family's 1533-position model. Lineage: Bacteria; Pseudomonadati; Pseudomonadota; Gammaproteobacteria. The record is from RNAcentral.
UGAGUUUGAUCAUGGCUCANNUUGAACGCUGGCGGCAGGCCUAACACAUGCAAGUCGAGCGGUAACAGGACUAGCUUGCUAGUUGCUGACGAGCGGCGGACGGGUGCGUAACACGUAGGAAUCUGCCCGGUAGUGGGGGAUAGCCCGGAGAAAUCCGGAUUAAUACCGCAUACGCCUUACGAGGGAAAGAAGGGGCCUCUUCGGAGCCUUUCGCUAUCGGAUGAGCCUGCGUCGGAUUAGCUAGUUGGUGGGGUAAAGGCCUACCAAGGCGACGAUCCGUAGCUGGUCUGAGAGGAUGAUCAGCCACACUGGGACUGAGACACGGCCCAGACUCCUACGGGAGGCAGCAGUGGGGAAUAUUGCACAAUGGGGGAAACCCUGAUGCAGCCAUGCCGCGUGUGUGAAGAAGGCUCUAGGGUUGUAAAGCACUUUCAGCGAGGAGGAAAGGUUGCUGGUUAAUACCCAGCGGCUGUGACGUUACUCGCAGAAGAAGCACCGGCNAACUCCGUGCCAGCAGCCGCGGUAAUACGGAGGGUGCGAGCGUUAAUCGGAAUUACUGGGCGUAAAGCGUGCGUAGGCGGUCAUGUAAGUUGGAUGUGAAAGCCCCGGGCUCAAC